Non-coding RNA from Brachypodium distachyon (stiff brome), 136 nucleotides. Lineage: Eukaryota; Viridiplantae; Streptophyta; Magnoliopsida; Poales; Poaceae. The record is from Rfam.
AUGAUAUUCCCUCCGUCCAACAAAAAAUGUCUCAAGUUUGUCAAAAUUUGAAUGUAUCUAGACAUGACUUAAUAUAUAGAUGCAUUCAAAUUUAGUCAAAGUUGAUACAUCCUUUGUUGGACGGAGCGAGUAUGUU